GAUGAACGCUGGCGGCGUGCCUAAUACAUGCAAGUCGAGCGAACGGACGAGAAGCUUGCUUCUCUGAUGUUAGCGGCGGACGGGUGAGUAACACGUGGAUAACCUACCUAUAUGACUGGGAUAACUACGAGAAACCGGAGCUAAUACCGGAUAAUAUAUUGAACCGCAUGGUUCAAAAGUGAAAGACGGUCUUGCUGUCACUGAUAGAUGUAUCCGCGCUGCAUUAGCUAGUUGGUAAGGUAACGGCUUACCAAGGCAACGAUGCAUAGCCGACCUGAGAGGGUGAUCGGCGACACUGGAACUGGAAGACGGUCCAGACUCCUACGGGAGGCAGCAGUAGGGAAUCUUCCGCAAUGGGCGAAAGCAUGACGGAGCAACGCCGGGUGGGUGGUGAAGGUCUUGGGAUCGGAAAACUCUGUUAUUAGGGAAGAACAUAUGUGUAAGUAACUGUGCACAUAUUGACGGUACCUAAUCAGAAAGCCACGGCUAACUACGUG
RNAcentral lists this ribosomal RNA (497 nucleotides) under uncultured bacterium. RNAcentral's name for it is "partial 16S ribosomal RNA". It matches the Rfam family "Bacterial small subunit ribosomal RNA", at positions 28 to 507 of the family's 1533-position model. The record is from RNAcentral.